GGCCGACUGAUUCUCAUCCAACCAUUCAAGCGCCUCCUUUGUUGCCGACUCAAUCUUCUCCUUCUCAUCGCUCUCAAGCUUAUCCGCCAAUUUAUCCUUAUCACCAAUUUGAUUCUUCAUGUUGUAGACAUAAGUCUCAAGGGCAUUUCUGGCAUCAAUCUUUUCCUUCACCUUUUUGUCUUCUUCAGCAAACUCCUCUGCCUCCCUAACCAUUCGUUCAAUCUCCUCCUGACUCAAUCUCCCCUUCUCAUUUGUGAUUGUUAUCUUCUCUGAUUUACCAGAAGCCUUGUCCUCCGCCUUCACGUUCAAUAUACCAUUCG
RNAcentral lists this long non-coding RNA (320 nucleotides) under Lactuca sativa (garden lettuce). RNAcentral's name for it is "long non-coding RNA (LSAT_LNC006730)". The record is from RNAcentral. Lineage: Eukaryota; Viridiplantae; Streptophyta; Magnoliopsida; Asterales; Asteraceae.